GAUGAACGCUGGCGGCGUGCCUAAUACAUGCAAGUCGAGCGAACGGACGAGAAGCUUGCUUCUCUGAUGUUAGCGGCGGACGGGUGAGUAACACGUGGAUAACCUACCUAUAAGACUGGGAUAACUUCGGGAAACCGGAGCUAAUACCGGAUGAUAUUUUGAACCGCAUGGUUCAAAAGUGAAAGACGGUCUUGCUGUCACUUAUAGAUGGAUCCGCGCUGCAUUAGCUAGUUGGUAAGGUAACGGCUUACCAAGGCAACGAUGCAUAGCCAACCUGAGAGGGUGAUCAGCCACACUGGAACUGAGACACGGUCCAGACUCCUACGGGAGGCAGCAGUAGGGAAUCUUCCGCAAUGGGCGAAAGCCUGACGGAGCAACGCCGCGUGAGUGAUGAAGGUCUUCGGAUCGUAAAACUCUGUUAGUAGGGAAGAACAUAUGUGUAAGUAACUGUGCACAUCUUGACGGUACCUAAUCAGAAAGCCACGGCUAACUACGUG
RNAcentral lists this ribosomal RNA (497 nucleotides) under uncultured bacterium. RNAcentral describes it as "partial 16S ribosomal RNA". It matches the Rfam family "Bacterial small subunit ribosomal RNA", at positions 28 to 507 of the family's 1533-position model. The record is from RNAcentral.